Python bivittatus (Burmese python) is the source of this 3725-nucleotide non-coding RNA. Lineage: Eukaryota; Metazoa; Chordata; Lepidosauria; Squamata; Pythonidae. The record is from RefSeq and is a predicted model, not a curated record.
UCCUUCCUUCUUUCCCAGCCACCCCGUCUCAUCUUUCCAAGGCUAAAAAAAUACAGCCCAAGACCCCAUUGAAUUGAAACUGCCCGUUCCGGAAGUGCUUUGGGGGUGGGGGACUAAAAGAGUGGGGGGCAAGGACCGGCGUGGCUGAUGGACGGCUGGCCUCCUUAUCCUGGGCCUGUGUUGACAUCUCGGGCUCCUCCUGCUGAGUUUGAAACUGGCCCCUUGUGGUGCUGUCGACCCCCCUUUUUCCGUUCGCCUCUUGCUCGGAACAAAGGACCAGCCCGGCGCGUGGCAUCGAGCCCCAGCUGUAACCAGGCGAAAGCGCCCUGCUGGCCCUAGCCGCCAGCCCAAGGCAAACGGAGAUGCUCCUGGAAAACAGAGACUUCGGCUCUUUCCUUAUCAGGCUGAACGAAAGGUCGUUCGGCUACAUCCUUUCAUACCGAGGGAAGAAUCGGUGCCGUCAUUUCGUCGUCAGCUGCCAACGCAACAGGCAUUAUGUCGUAUCCGGAGACACCCGAACGCAUCAAAGUUUGGCUGAACUGAUCCGCUAUUAUCAGACGACUGAAAUACAGCCUUUUGGGGAAAACCUCACCUCGGCCUGUUCCAAGCUGGAGGAGAAAAGCAUAUAUGAUGAAAUAUCUUCUGGCCGAAGUUCCAGUGCAGCCGCUCCAACGCUGAUCGGGAACCCACCUACCGAUUCCAACCAACAGCCAGGAAAUCCGAGGAUACAGCUUCAGGAAGAGGAGAAGUCUUUUUUCAAAGAAAGUCAAAGUUCAGGCCCAAAGGAUCUGGAUGCAGUCCCACCUGUACCAGACAGGUCCCACUUGCUGAAGUCACUGUCCCUGGAAGAAGGCGUUGGUGGAAAAGGAAUCAUUUAUUCAACCGUGAAGAAGUCUUCUUUAGACAAAAGAUGCUUGGAAAAGUCAAAAGAGGGGUGCAGAGAUUUUGUGGAUGCUAAGGCAGAGAAAACUGAAGGACUGAGCCAAAGUCUCCCCUCUCUUUGCCAAAAGAAGACAGGAACAGUGUUUGCCUUGGCCAAGCAGUCAGACACGCCAUUCACCCAAAAAGUGAAUCCUGCAGAGACACCUCAGCCAGAAACAGUUUAUUCUAAGGUUGCCCUUGACCACGCCAAAAGCUGUUGGGUACUUGCUGAGCCCCACAGUUGUCAGUCUUUUCUAUCAUCCAAGAAAUCAGCUGUAAAUGUUCCUAAUUACCCACCUCCAAAAUUAACUCCUAAGUUACUGAAUAAACCCAAAAAUUUGAUGGAGUUCCAUGAACAGCAGUCUCCCCUUGGGAUAUAUACAAGUCCUGAGAGUGACAAAGAACAUGGACAACUAAACCAGCUGAAAUCCUUGUUUGAAUUACCAAAGGAACCCACAAAUGAGAAGAUCCUUAAGGUGAAAAACCAUCAACCUACCUUAUGGACAGACAAUACAACUAAUACUCAUGAAUCUUUCAGGUGGGCAAAGAGUAUCUUCCUUGGUUCAGAAAAGGUUCCUAAGGCUUCACUGACCAAGUCCAAAGGGUCUCGUGAUCAUAUCUCAACAAAGUUUGGGCAAUCCUCCAAGAUUCAGAUCAACCCUGAGAACCCAUAUGAAAAAAUACCUGAUCCUUACUCCAAAGGUUCCUCAACCACAGGUCAAGCUUCUACUCUGGAGGACCCCUAUGAACGAAUUCCCUACAUGCCAGGGAAAAGAAUAGAAGCAAAGCUAACCCCAAAGAGUGACAAACCCAGAAGGUUCUUCUUUGCCGAAAAGAAGGCCAGGCCCUGAGCGCCGCGUUUUGAACGUGGCUCCCGAAUGAAAUCCUCUUCCAAAGGCCCCCACACGAGCACCAGAGGCAGAGCUGCGCUGGGAAAGGAUCUGCCUGGGGGUUACAAGCCCCCUUUUCCGAAGCGAUCGUUUUUUCUCCGUUUCAAACACUGCUCAGUUUUCAGAAAGGUUCUGCGUGAGCAAUAUUCGGGUGUCCCCCUCCGGUCUGUAACGGGUGGGGAAAGAGCUGAGCUCCACUCUUUCCGGGCCAAGAUCUGGCCUUCACUUUGGAACCAUCGCUGGAUGAGAACUUGCUCUCCAAAAAGCAAGCCGAGCACGGAGAAGCAUGAAAUCUGUUGGCAUCUAACUGACAUUUAAACUGAACUGGAAGGACUGAAAGCUGUGACAGCCCCUUGGGUGGGGUCAUUUCUCCUGUCUGUCAUGUGCCAAGCUACAACUGGGGGGCCACUUGGAGGAGAGAGUUUGGAGGCCGGGCCUCCAUAGAUUAGCUAGAGAGGCAAGGGCUGUGAAGAUGAGGGUGGGCUGCAUGAAUCCCCAGUGGCUGGAUUCAGAGACCUAUAGACCCCCCAUUUGGGGAGUAGCCUCCUAUCUUGUUCUGUGGAAAGAUGGUCAGACGUGGGAUGCACCAAUUCCUUGUGCAAAUUCUAGGGUUGCGCAACAAGUUGACUUGACACAAAGGCCUCAAGGUAGGAGUCAAAAAAGUCAUGAUUUUUUGCUCAAAGCCCCACCCCCUUCCAAGAUGCAUUGCAUGUAAAUUGCAUGUCAAAAAGGGGCGGAGCUUCGAUCAGACAGUCACGGCUGCCAUGCUGACUUUUUUGACCCCCCCCCGACUUGAAGGUCGUGCCAAGGCCCUUGGCCCAGUUGAACUAAAUCCUUUCAUCUGACUGCCUGAUUAAUUUGGUGCAUCGAGCUGGAUGGCUUCGGAUCAACCCGGUCCAUGGUCUCAACUGACUCGUUGAACUGAAUUGAUCAAUCUUUGGGGUUCUUGCACGAUUCACACACCCUGGUAAACUGGAACACUGGCGUGUGAUAAGGUGGGAGGGGAGAACCUUUAGAGCAACAUUUCCAGGAACUGUUCUGCUUCCUAGAAACCGUAAAGCAAAAUCGUGACUAUCAUACUUAGUAGAAGAAGGUUUUCCCACUCCUCCUACCCCUUGUAAUGAUUUUUUGAAACAGUACAACAGAAAUCCUCUCUCAGCAGUCCUGGGGGUGAUUCGAGGUCUUCUGAGAAGCCAAAAUAAAUCUUUGGGUAGCAACGGCAGGUUUGUCCUUGACUCUACUCUGCACUGUCCGGUUUACCCCGACACCCUUUGCUAUGACAUUAAAUGGAGAUUAAUUAGAAGGGAAGGGAAAGAAAAAAAGGAAGAACCACUUGCUUUUUUUCUUCAUCCUUAAUGACCUGAUUCAUUUCCAUCACUGCAGGGUGAACAAAGGGUUAUCCAGAAGUCUCAUUUUUUUCCCCCUUCAUUACGAAAAUAUACUUCCAUGUCCGGCUUCAGGGCCACGGUUCCACGCGGAGUUAAUAAUGUGGCCUCUGCUAAUAUUUACUUCCAAGUAAACGGGUGCAAGCCAUUGGGAUGAAUAAGCCAUUUUUCUUUUCUUUUUUAAAGUUCCCAAGAAAAACCAACCAAAAAUACUGUUACAACAGGGCAAGCCUGUCUCACAGGAGCUAACUAGCCAGACCAUAUCACUCCUCUUUGUCCUGCCCAGCAACUGGGACUUACAGGUAGAGUGCCCCUGAAGAGAGAGGUUCUAUUCUUGUCUGUCACUGGGAUGUUACCGAGUCCUUUGGAAGAACGCUAGCGUUGCCCGAUGAAGGUUUUCGCCUAAUACAGCCUCCUGUUUUCCCCAAGCAGAACAGGAAAAUUCCCUCAGCUGUGGUAGAGUGCCUCUGAUCACGGAGGCUCUACAUAGCCCCACGCAUCUGGUUGAGCUGAACACCGCACCCGUUGG